This 1506-nucleotide ribosomal RNA is filed under the name Triticum aestivum (bread wheat). RNAcentral describes it as "partial small subunit ribosomal RNA". Lineage: Eukaryota; Viridiplantae; Streptophyta; Magnoliopsida; Poales; Poaceae. The record is from RNAcentral.
AUUGCGAUGGAACACGUUGAGAAUCCUGUUGAGGGUAACAAUGGAACUCCUGUGAGGAGUAAGAGACAGAGGACUGCAAAGUCCUUUGGUGAUGAUUUCAUUGUAUACCUCGUGGAUGACACACCCAGGACUAUUUCAAAAGCCUAUGCAUCCCCUGAUGCUGACUACUGGAAGGAAGCUGUACGUAGCGAGAUGGAUUCCAUCUUAGCUAACGGUACCUGGGAGAUCACUGACCAUCCUUAUGGGUGCAAACCUGUAGGAUGUAAGUGGGUGUUCAAGAAGAAGCUUAGACCUGAUGGUACGAUUGAAAAGUACAAGGCACGACUUGUGGCCAAGGGUUAUACCCAGAAAGAAGGUGAAGACUUCUUUGAUACUUACUCACCAGUGGCUAGACUGACCACAAUUCGGGUGCUACUAUCACUGGCUGCCUCACAUGGUCUUCUCGUUCAUCAAAUGGACGUUAAGACGACUUUCCUCAAUGGAGAGUUGAAGGAGGAAAUUUACAUGGAUCAGCCAGAUGGUUUUGUAGUACCUGGUCAAGAAGGAAAGGUGUGCAAGUUAUUAAAGUCUUUAUAUGGCCUUAAACAAGCUCCUAAGGAGUGGCAUGAGAAGUUCGAAAGAACAUUAACUGCUGUCGGCUUUGUAGUAAACGAUGGUGACAAGUGCGUGUACUAUCGCUAUGGUGGGGGCGAAGGAGUUAUUCUUUGUCUGUAUGUCGACGACAUAUUGAUCUUUGGAGCCAAACUUGAUUUAAUCAAGGAGGUUAAGGAUUUCUUAUCUCGCUGUUUUGAGAUGAAGGAUCUAGGAGUAGCUGAUGUUAUCUUAAACAUCAAGCUGUUGAGAGAUGAGAAUGGUGGGAUCACACUGCUUCAGUCUCAUUAUGUGGAAAAGGUCUUGAGUCGUUUUGGGUAUAGCGACUGCACACCUUCUCCAACUCCAUAUGAUGCUAGUGUUGCCACGAGGCCUGACAUCUCUUUUGCUGUGAGCAAGCUGAGUCGGUUUGUGUCAAAACCGGGAGAUGAUCACUGGCAUGCGCUUGAGAGAGUUAUGCGCUAUUUGAAAGGCACCGCGAGCUAUGGGAUUCACUACACCGGGUAUCCAAGGGUACUGGAGGGUUAUAGUGACUCAAACUGGAUAUCUGAUGCUGAUGAGAUUAAGGCCACAAGUGGUUAUGUUUUUACACUUGGUGGUGACACUGCCACUGUUGAAGCAAAGUGGCUUCGUGAACUCUUGAUGGACUUACCUAUGGUUGAAAAACCAAUACCCCCUAUCCUGAUGAACUGUGAUAAUCAAACUGUGAUCGUCAAGACAAACAGUUCUAAGGACAAUAUGAAGUCCUCAAGGCAUGUGAAGAGGAGACUAAAAUCUGUCAGAAAAUUGAGGAACUCCGGAGUUAUUAAGUUGGAUUAUAUCCAAACGUCGAAAAACUUGGUAGAUCCCUUCACAAAGGGUCUAUCACGUAAUGUAAUAGAUAAUGUAUCGAUGGAGAUGGGUUUGAGACCCACC